Zootoca vivipara (common lizard) is the source of this 1589-nucleotide non-coding RNA. Lineage: Eukaryota; Metazoa; Chordata; Lepidosauria; Squamata; Lacertidae. The record is from RefSeq and is a predicted model, not a curated record.
UUACACAAAACAGUGAGAAGAGCAUUGCCUUCACAUACCAUUCUACUGAACACUCUGAAAAUAUUGAAGGAGUCUGAGCUAAAGAAGUUCAAGGGCAAACUCCACCAUUUCCCCAUCAAGAAGGGCUUUGUGAAUAUCUUAAAAGGAGUUGCUGGAGGAAGCAAGUGUUUUGGACCUCAGCCAGCUGCUCCUUGUCUACUAUGGCCUGGAUUAUGCCUUGGAAGUGAUGGCCAAAGUUCUGGAAGCCAUCGACUGUGAGCCGCAGGCAGACAGAGAAGAUGACCUGGUCAUGCCCGCUGAUGUGGACAGAAUGGAGAGAGAGGUGGCAAAGGGCUAGGACUCCGUUCUGGAAGCAUUUCAGGUUAGUUGGCAUGAGGCAACAUUAGAAAUUUCCUUGGGAGGGAGAUUCAACUAGAAACAAGGAUGGACAAAUCUGUUACUGUGCUAACGUUUUGGGUGAUAAGUAAUAGUUUUCUGGUCAAUGUGGGGAGACUCAUCUUUGAAGAAAUCUUGGGUGCAAGGCCAGAGGGCAACCUAUCAGCCAGUUCAAGCUUCUGUAAGCUCAGCCAUUGGUCAUGCUUUGCAAGCAGAAAAUGUCACUAAGGCCAAGCAAUGGGGUACAGCUUGGAGAAAGAUGCAGAAUGGACCACAAAGACUAGAUCUAUUCUUGACAGUUAUUAAAGUGGUGGCAAAUCACAUCAUAGUUUCUUUUCAUUAUGGAUUAUUUAAGCAUGUUUUUCGGGCGGCAGAUGAGAGUCAGAUUGCAGAUGGCCGAGACGGUCGGUGAGGGCAGGAGACCAGGGGUGGGGAACCUCAGGCCCAGCUUGUAUCCUAACCAGAUUCUAAGGCUUUCUUCCCCUGAUGCGUAAAACAAAUUGGACAUUUCUGCGACAGGCCACUGGAAGGAGUCGCAAUCUCUGCUAAGAAGAUUAUCUGCAAGGGAAGAAAAUAAUUAAUUGAAAUUCUUGGAAGAAACAUUUUACAUGUGUUAUACUCUCACUAUAUUAUCACAUGGAAAGAAUACUGGGACUUGUUGGAAGCAGAGGAAGACUCCAAGGAGAAAAGUAAAAAAAUGCUGCGUAUGAUCCAGGAAAGGGGGGAGCAAGCUUGUUGCCGGUUCCUUGAAUGUGUAGAAAUGGAACAUCUGGGUUCCAUCCAGAAUGUGCUGCUUGCAAUACAUGGCUCAGGGCAAGAUCCAAUCUGGACUUCUGGCCACUUAGGGCUACAGUUAAAAUCCCCCCUGUUUGCAGAGGAUGGAAGGAGCAGGAAGAUGGAAAACCCAGCAGGUUCUGGGGAAAGUGACCGGGGUAGCUGGUGCCCCAGUGAGCAGCUUCCAGAAAAAAUCAAACCAGACGUGGUUUGGGACUCAGAAAGGGGUCACGAAGCAUACAGGUGAGUGAAAUCUCUCUUGGAUCUUUUAAGGAUUUCUCACAUCAGGAAACAGUUUCUACUGUGAAAUGAAUUUUGGGAUUCUGACCCUUUGGAAUCCUCUCCCAUUACACAUUGGACAGGUGACAUAGCUCUGAAGACCUUCUUCCUUCAAAAAGAGUUUAGAUCUUCAUCUCUCCACCUGCAUUGGAAGUACUUUC